Eriocheir sinensis (Chinese mitten crab) is the source of this 1220-nucleotide long non-coding RNA. RefSeq lists it as uncharacterized. The transcript has 2 exons. Lineage: Eukaryota; Metazoa; Arthropoda; Malacostraca; Decapoda; Varunidae. The record is from RefSeq and is a predicted model, not a curated record.
UUUUCUGAGCACCACACUCUCAUGGCACGGAGCUGUAAUAAGGUAAUACCGGAACAAGUAACGUUUUGACGAGUAGGACAAAUUCAUGAGUAUAUUGAACUAUGAGAUGAACGGAAGGCUGCAUUGAGUGAUCUUUAUUAUGAGUGCGCGCAUAACGUAACUUUCUCCCCAGGACGAAUGACCUUCCUUUGUUUACAUGGUGAAGUUUAUUGGUAUGCGUUUUCUCCAUGUUUUCAAAUAUCUUCGUUUCAUUUCCACACGGCCAAGGAAUUUCCCAAACCGAAGGAGUGUUGAGUAACCACUGUCACCGGACACCCAAACUUGCUGGCGACCUAUCCAUGACAAAGAUUAACUACAACGGGUUCUUUCCCGUGCCUGAUGAGCUUAUCUUUAGGCGUUAAGUAUAUCAGAGUUUUGACAUCAAACUGUCGGGCAUAUGUCACGGUUAUCAAAAGGUAAAUUUGGGUUUCAAAAUGAAACAGUGGUGACUCUGUACUUGCGGCGUCCCUCAAAGUAUCGCAUAUAUAAGGGCUGAGGAGCUCCCUGUCAGUAUUCCCUAUCCACUCUUCGUCCCUUCACCAUGAAGCUGAUGUCUGUGCUGGUGGCCUUGCUGGUGUCUCUGUUAGCGCUGGUUCAAGUAAGCUGGACGAUGCCCGCCCCUGACGCCGCCGCCGAACCUAUCGACAACAUAACCCUGAAGCGAUACUUAGUUUAUCGUAAACUCAUCGCGCCUGAACUCGCCCGUCGCUUCCAGAAGACAACCUUGAACACAGUGACGGUGCGGCGGCGCCCCGCGCGUAAUAGACCCGGCCCAUUACGCAAGCUGAAUGGAUAGUCUUAGUGACACUGCCCACACCACUGUUCUGCUUGUAGUGCUAUUGAGAGGAAUGUGCUGCCCCGACCCUCUUCUAGUGUGUCGGUGGCCCUCACCUGUGACAUGACGGCACUGCUACUCUGAGGCCCUCUAGUAUGCAUGUGUGUGUGUGUGAUGAACUCCAGCGUACCUGAGUAUACAUGUGUUUAUGUUUGCAUAGUUUCAUCAACCUGUUCAUGGAUGGAAACAACUCGACAAAUAAUAAUUGAUGCUUCGGUUUACUAUCACUGUUUGCCUAACACACAUUCACACGUCAUGUUUUGUCACGAGCUGUGGUGAAACCUGCAUGGCAAAUGACACCAAAUAAGGAUUUUACAAUGAUUGUAAUAUAAUAAGACUUAACAUA